GAUGAAGAACGUAGCGAAAUGCGAUACGUAAUGUGAAUUGCAGAAUUCCGUGAAUCAUCGAGUCUUUGAACGCACAUUGCGCCCCCUGGUAUUCCGGGGGGCAUGCCUGUCCGAGCGUCAUUGCUGCCCUCAAGCACGGCUUGUGUGUUGGGCCCCGUCCUCCGAUCCCGGGGGACGGGCCCGAAAGGCAGCGGCGGCACCGCGUCCGGUCCUCGAGCGUAUGGGGCUUUGUCACCCGCUCUGUAGGCCCGGCCGGCGCUUGCCGAUCAACCCAAAUUUUUAUCCAGGUUGACCUCGGAUCAGGUAGGGAUACCCGCUGAACUUAAGCAUAUCAAUAAGCGGAGGA
Molecule: unclassified non-coding RNA, 346 nt
Filed under: soil metagenome
Description: partial contains 5.8S ribosomal RNA, internal transcribed spacer 2, and large subunit ribosomal RNA
Rfam family: 5.8S ribosomal RNA (bases 1-120)
Source: RNAcentral